GGGUCAGUAGGUUGGUCGUGCCACCGGUACGUACUGGUCUCACCGAUUCCUCCUUCCUGAAGAACCGUAAUGCCAUCAAUUUGGUGUUGCGGGGAAACAGGACUGUUACUUUGAAAAAAUUAGAGUGUUUAAAGCAAGCUAACGCUUGAAUACAUUAGCAUGGAAUAAUGAAAUAGGACGAUCGAUCCUAUUUUGUUGGUUUCUAGGAUUGACGUA
This 216-nucleotide ribosomal RNA is filed under the name Glomeromycotina sp. RNAcentral describes it as "partial small subunit ribosomal RNA". The stretch from base 46 to 216 matches the Rfam family "Eukaryotic small subunit ribosomal RNA", at positions 692 to 864 of the family's 1831-position model. The record is from RNAcentral. Lineage: Eukaryota; Fungi; Glomeromycota.